This 69-nucleotide transfer RNA is filed under the name Bombus ignitus. RNAcentral describes it as "tRNA-Met". The record is from RNAcentral. Lineage: Eukaryota; Metazoa; Arthropoda; Insecta; Hymenoptera; Apidae.
UUAAUUUUUAUAUUUAUAUUAAUUUUUACAUUAAAAUAAUAAAAAUUAAUAUAAAUAUUUUAAAUUAUU